UACGAGAGGCCCAAACGUUAUUCGGAUUUACUGGGCUUAAAGAGUUCGUAGGCGGUUCGGUAAGUGAGGUGUGAAAUCCCACGGCCUAACCGUGGAAGUGCCUCCGAUACUGCAAGGCUCGAGGGAGGUAGGGGCAGCUGGAACUUCCGGUGGAGCGGUGAAAUGCGUUGAUAUCGGAAGGAACGCCGGUGGCGAAAGCGAGCUGCUGGACCUCUGCUGACGCUGAGGCGCGAAAGCCAGGGGAGCAAACGGG
This 253-nucleotide ribosomal RNA is filed under the name uncultured bacterium. RNAcentral's name for it is "partial 16S ribosomal RNA". It matches the Rfam family "Bacterial small subunit ribosomal RNA", at positions 524 to 776 of the family's 1533-position model. The record is from RNAcentral.